Molecule: non-coding RNA, 33 nt
Filed under: Prorocentrum micans
Lineage: Eukaryota; Dinophyceae; Prorocentrales; Prorocentraceae
Source: RNAcentral
UGUUUUUUUUUUUUUUUUUUUUUUUUUUUUUUU